CCUACGGGUGGCAGCAGUGGGGAAUAUUGCGCAAUGGGCGCAAGCCUGACGCAGCGACGCCGCGUGAGGGAUGAAGGUCUUCGGGUCGUAAACCUCUGUUAGCAGGGAAGAAAGGUCACUGUGCUAAACAGCAGUGAAUUGAUGGUACCUGCAAAGGAAGCACCGGCUAACUACGUGCCAGCAGCCGCGGUAAUACGGAGGGUGCGAGCGUUAAUCGGAAUGACUGGGCGUAAAGGGCUCGUAGGCGGUAUGGCAAGUCAAGGGUGAAAUCCCCGGGCUCAACGUGGGAACUGCCUUUGAAACUGGCAGACUGGAGUGUGUGAGAGGAUAGUGGAAUUCCAGGUGUAGGAGUGAAAUCCGUAGAUAUCUGGAGGAACAUCAGUGGCGAAGGCGACUAUCUGGCACAUAACUGACGCUGAGGCGCGAAAGCGUGGGUAGCAAACAGGAUUAGAUACCCGUGUAGUC
RNAcentral lists this ribosomal RNA (465 nucleotides) under uncultured bacterium. RNAcentral describes it as "partial 16S ribosomal RNA". It matches the Rfam family "Bacterial small subunit ribosomal RNA", at positions 338 to 795 of the family's 1533-position model. The record is from RNAcentral.